RNAcentral lists this small RNA (110 nucleotides) under Marmota monax (woodchuck). The record is from RNAcentral. Lineage: Eukaryota; Metazoa; Chordata; Mammalia; Rodentia; Sciuridae.
GCUGGGCAUGGUAGCACAUGCCUGUAAUCCCAGUGGCUCAGGAGGCUGAGGCAGGAAGAUUGGGAGUUCACAGCUAAGGUGCUAAGCAAUUCAGUGAGAUCCUGUCUCUA